Long non-coding RNA from Capsicum annuum, 4719 nucleotides. RefSeq lists it as uncharacterized. The record is from RefSeq and is a predicted model, not a curated record. The transcript has 2 exons. Lineage: Eukaryota; Viridiplantae; Streptophyta; Magnoliopsida; Solanales; Solanaceae.
CCCAAAUCUUAUUGUUUUUCUCCCUUAACCCGACAACAACAGCUGUAUCAGCAAAAAAUGUACAAAAAAACCACAGACAACAACAAUAACUUACAUCCACAGCAGCAACACGACAAAAACCAACAACAAACGGUGGCAACAAUACCCGCGACACUGAUUCGGACUACCGGAUAUUAAGAAAUCUGGUGGUUUUCUCGCUUCUCCUCUCUUUUCCAUCAACAUCUCCAAUUCUCCAUCAACAUCACCUCAAUCCUCUUUUCUUUCCCUGCUUUUUCUGAAAAAACGCACACCCAAAAGGGCUCUUUCUCCUCACUGUAAGCUUCUGAAAAGGGAAGAAUAUGAAGAUUCAAUGGUUCUUAAAAGUAUUCUUUCUUUGAAUCAACGGAAAAAAACUGUUCAUUUUGAAGAACCGAAAUCGUCAAAUCCAAAGUCUCAAUCUUUUAAAGUUACUCUGAAAAGUGGUGGAAUCGCUCUUUGACUUGUCUUCAUAGUUCGCUCUACGAAAAAAGGUAAUUACCAUCUCCAUACUUCUAUGUAAUUUGCUCUUUCUGUAGGUAUUCGGUUGAUCAGUAUUUUUUUGUGUUUAAUAGCUGGUUUUUUUACUUUUCGCUCACUGUAGUACUUAAUUAUUACAUUUUUUGUAUUCGUCUGACUUAUAAGGUGAAGUGAAAUGUGGUUUGUUUGCUCGUUUCUCCUUAGAACAUUCAAGUUUCGAGUUUAGUAUCAAAAUCACUGUGUUGCUAAAACCGGCUGCAAUUUUCAAUAGUUUAAUAUAAAAAGUGCACCUUUUUUAUCAUUAAUUUUUUUUUUCUUUCUUUUAGCAUUCUAAAUUUUGAUCCAUGUCUCGUUGCAACUUAGAAGCUGUUGGUUGAAUCCCAUUAUGUAUGUUCUUCCUCUGUUUUUAGUUCCUUUUACUCAUAUAGAGUCAUCGAUGUUCUCUUUGCUUGCCCAGAAUUUGAGUGUAGUAUGCACGGGUGGAUACCUCUUUCCAUCCUGUCCCUCGAUUGUUGUCUCGAUUCAUGACUCGUGGAGUUAGUCUCGCGUAUAGUGCUUUCGUUUAAAAACACGUUGGCUGCAUUAUUUGCUCAGCUUUGGUUAAAAUCUUGUUAAAAUGUGAAGAUUUGCAUUUAUGAGACUUCCAGUGUUAAUAUUUGAUGUUUUUCUCUUCCAGCUGUUAUGUGAUUUGAGAUAUAGGAUUGUGUGCCUUAAAUUUUUCUUAAAUAUCUAACUAGAAUAUGGAUAAAUUGAAACAGAAUGUGCUCCUCUUAAGCCCGGGAUAAUAUAUGUUUCAAGUAUUGAGUUAGUUAAUUAUAGUUUAUUUCGAUAAAUCGAGUAGGAUCUUAACUCCUUUCCUCCCUCGUUUAAGUUGGUUUUAAUAAGUGUAUGCACCAAUAUCUUUGUCAAACCUUUGUAUUUAAUAUGUAAUGGGAUAUUAUGUGAAACGUUAGGCAUAUCUCCAGUAGAGGCAUUGCAGGACAUUAAAUUUUCAAUUCACUUGUCAUUUACCAUUAUUUAGACAAUGUUGUAUUCAAAUAGGAGCCAAAAAAUGCAAGUUGUUUCCCUUUUUCCCAUAUAAUACAAUAUGUCAACAUUUGUUGAAGAGUUGAGUGUUUGUUAAUCUGGUUUUGCCCAUCCAUGAGUAUUUGUCAUGACAAAAACAAUAAUUUGCACUUAAUUGGUUUAGUCUUACAUCUAUGUCAUACUGAGCCUUUUUUUUUUUUUUUUCUAGCCUUGAUACAUAUAUCCCUGUUUAAUGAUAUGCUUUUGAGCCAACAAAAAUGUGUUGUUGUUUUUUUCUUCCUUGUUUUCUAGAGAUUGAAAUGUUCUGUAGAAAUGCCUAUUAGUUUAAAAGGCUCUAUUGCAUCAUAAUGACCUUUUUAGUGCAACCAACCAUGUGUUACAACAUAAGCUUAGUUCAAAUUAGUUUCAAAAUUUUCCAAACAGUCAAAAGUUUUUGUUAGAGCUUAAUUAUAUGAUCCUUUUCACGUACUAAUCCUUUUCUAUCCCUUUUAUGCAUGAACCUCCUCAUCGAGUCCAUUGGACUCCCAACUAUCGCAUUCCGUCGGGUUAAGCCCAACCUCCAUCGAGUCAAAGCCUCAACCGAAUUCACAAAUAGACUUAUAUACGCUAAAAAACACUGAUAUACAAAUGUAUACAACUGAUAUACGUUUGCAGCUGACUGCACUGAUGUACACCGUAUACACAGCGGCUUACUGCACUGAUGUACACCUUAUACACAGCGGUAUACCCAAGAACGCAGAAAAUAAGCUGCUGAUAUACAGAAGAUAUACAGGGGCAAAAAAUGAGCUAAAGUCCAUGGAAUUGGUCCAAAUUGGACAGAUUUUUUAAUGAAACGUGGGUUUUGGAGACCCACGUUCUACCGAAUUGAACUAAGAGCGCUUUCUUAUCAGAAUAGAUAAGACUGUAAACAAAAGGAUUCUUUUCAUAACCCCAAUACAUUUUGUAUGCAUAUACUAGAAUGGAAUGAUAAAAAUAAAAGAUUAUGUCCAAUUUGAAGUGAUCUCAAUUGAUCCCUCGUUACUGCUCAGUGGAGCAGUAAUAGGUAGGGAUGACGGGAUUUGAACCCGUGACAUUUUGUACCCAAAACAAAUGCGCUGCUACCAAGCUGCGCCACAUUCCUUCAAUUGUUCCACAGUGGAAUUGUAGAGAAUUCCUGUCUUGUUUUCCACAUGGUUAUUUUCUCCAUUGAUAUAUACAAAUUUUUUGCUCAUUUCGUCUUUUUGGUCUCACUUAACAUAUAAUAGUAAAGGGAAAAAACUUCUCUUAUAUAGAAAAUACUUAUAUACAAUUAUAUACAAAAUAAAUAUAUAAAUACAGAACUCGUCGUAAAAAUAAAUUAGUAUUCUUCAAAAAUUCUCGGUAAGAAAGAAAGGGAUGUAUUUUUUUUCUGUUUUAAGAAAAGGAAAAUCUUAUUUCCAAAAUCAUUGUACAUUUCAAUUUGAAUUAGGAAUUAUGUGUCCAACUCUAAGCAGCCCUUAACUACAUAUGCAUCUGAUCAUAUAUGUAUUAUCUAUAUUCCAACAAAUAAUACAAAAGGAGGUUUUUCAAUGCGAGAUCUAAAAACAUAUCUCUUUGUGGCACCAGUACUAAGUACGCUAUGGUUCGGGGCUUUAGCAGGUCUAUUGAUAGAGAUUAAUCGUUUUUUCCCGGAUGCGUUGACAUUCCCCUUUUUUUCAUUCUAGUUAUUGUCAUGGGAAGGAAUGAAGAAAAUUAGAGAUCCAAUCAAAUAUUGGUGAUGAAUCCCUCUCCCCCUCUUUUCUCUUUUUCUCCUUUUAAGAAUAAGGGAGGAAAGAGAAAGAAUAAAAAAGUGGAUUCAACAUUCGGGCUCAAGUUCGAAUUAAUUGAAUAUUAAUCAUAGAGGAAUGAGGGUAAAAUAGAAAAUGGGGGUCUAGGGCAAGAGUAUUAUACAAGAUACUUAAAUGAUUACUUAAAUUUGCAAUAUACUUUAGAAAAAUCGUUGUAUUUUACUAUGACUUUGCUUUACUAUUACUUUAUUUUCUUAAUUUUAAUCUUUUACUUUUAGAAUUGGAUUUCAAGUUAGUAACUUCUAUUUUAUCCUUUCUUCGUUUUGAAUCGAAAAUAGAAGAGUUGAGUAAAUCAAAAAUCCAAAGGAGGUUCAUGGCCAAGGGGAAAGAUGUCCGAGUAACGGUGAUUUUGGAAUGUACUAGUUGUGUUCGAAACAGUGUUGAUAAGGUAUCAAGAGGUAUUUCCAGAUAUAGUACUCAAAAGAACCGGCACAAUACGCCUAAUCGAUUAGAAUUGAAAAAAUUCUGUCCCUAUUUUUACAAACAUACGGUUCAUGGGGAGAUUAAAAAAUAGAGCAAACCAAGUACCUGUGCCUUACCCUUUCAAGGAAGGGGAAAAAAUGACAUUAUAUAUAACAUAUUUAAAUAGAAACUAAACACAUUCUAUUUUUCAAAAAUUCUAUUUUAUUUUGGGUGGAUUUAAAAUGAAUUAGAAUUAAGAAAUAGGAUUUUAGGGAUAAGGAAUAAAUUAAACAAACAAACCAUGGAUAAAUCCAAGCGACCUUUUCUUAAAUUCAAGCGAUCUUUUCGUAGGCGUUUGCCCCCGAUUCAAUCGGGGGAUCGAAUUGAUUAUAGAAACAUGAGUUUAAUUAGUCGAUUUAUUAGUCAACAAGGAAAAAUAUUAUCAAGACGCAUGAACAGAUUGACCUUGAAACAACAUGAUUAAUUACUCUUGCUAUAAAAUAAGCUCGUAUUUUAUCUUUGUUACCUUUUCUCAAUAAUGAGAAAAAAUUUGAAAGAACUGAGUCGACCGCUAGAACUACUGGUUUUAAAGCUCGAAAUAAAUAGGCUUACUUUUUCUUUACUUGAAUCAUAAUUACUCAAAUCUAGAUUCACUCAAAUCUAGAUUUUAGUAUCGUGUCGUAAGAAACAAAUGAAUCGGAAAAAACGAAAUCUGUUUUUAUUGAAUUGAACGUGUUCAUUCAUUUUGACUACUUUAGCAUAUUUUCUCAUACUAAUUUCUAACUCGUCCGGUAGAAGAAACCUCCAUUUAUUCUCAGGAGAGCGUGGGGAGCUUUUAAAGACUCCGGGUUGAUUUUGUUCAAAAUCAUAUAAAGACAAUUCCUAUUUGAUAUAGCUAUUUGUGCAAGUAUUUUACAAUUAAGAAGCAACCGUCUAUUGUAAAGAUUGUGUAUUAAUUUACUAUAACUAUCAGAGACUCCCCCUUUGCGAA